This 253-nucleotide ribosomal RNA is filed under the name uncultured bacterium. RNAcentral's name for it is "partial 16S ribosomal RNA". It matches the Rfam family "Bacterial small subunit ribosomal RNA", at positions 524 to 776 of the family's 1533-position model. The record is from RNAcentral.
GACGAACCGAGCGAACGUUAUUCGGAUUCACUGGGCUUAAAGGGUGCGUAGGCGGGCUGUCAAGUCUGGGGUGAAAUCCCACGGCUCAACCGUGGAACUGCCUUAGAUACUGAGGGCCUCGAGGAAGGUAGGGGCAUGCGGAACUGUAGGUGGAGCGGUGAAAUGCGUUGAUAUCUACAGGAACUCCGGUGGCGAAAGCGGCGUGCUGGACCUUUUCUGACGCUGAGGCACGAAAGCUAGGGGAGCAAACGGG